AGCAAAGAGUUAGAGAUCAGGGUAACAAAUGUGCAAACUUGAUAAAAUACAUAACCAUACUAUGACUAUAAAUAUCACGGUUAUUUACAAUAAAUUUACCACUCAGUUAUCUGCCUGACUUGCAAGUACUCGCAUCAUUAGUUCAUACCUAGAAAAAAAAACAAAAAUGACCAAAUUUACUUUGUUGUUAUCAAUUAUUUUAUUUAUUGGCUUCUAUGCUAGUGCAGUUGAAGCAAAUUGCGAAGGGCAUUGGUGUCAUUCUGCGGCUGGCUAUAGUUGCGGUUGUGCCGAUUACGUUUGUAGUUCAUCCAUUGCUCAAGGCACUUGCAUGAAAUACGAGCCAUAUCAUCCACUUCCGUAGGGUUAAAUAAAAUAAAAUAUUGUUGAAAAAUCCGAAAGUUUAAACCUGCAACACUCAUGUUUUAUGUUGAAUAAUUAAUUUACAAAUAUUAACUGUCAAGCUAUGUACUUUCCCCGAUUAAAGAAGAUGAUUUGAAAUGAUUUCCAAUGUUAAAUCUCCAUAAGAGAAAUUAUUUAAAAAUUAUUUGAGAUAUUUUAUCUAAUUCGAGUUCAAAUCAUUUUAAGUCAUUUCAAAUCAGCUUUGUUAAUCAGAAUUAUAAGAAAGCUAAAAUAAAUGCUACCAGUUUAGUAAAAAAAAAAA
This is a long non-coding RNA of Microplitis mediator, 661 nucleotides long. RefSeq lists it as uncharacterized. The transcript is spliced from 3 exons. NCBI's taxonomy places the organism in Eukaryota, Metazoa, Arthropoda, Insecta, Hymenoptera, Braconidae. The record is from RefSeq and is a predicted model, not a curated record.